GUCUACAGCUAUACCAACCUGAAUGCAUCCCAUCUCAUCUGGUCUUGGAAGCUAAGCAAGGUCAAGCCUGGUUGGUUCUAAGAUGGGACACUGCCUGGGAAUACCAGGUGCUAUCGGCU
This 119-nucleotide ribosomal RNA is filed under the name Callithrix jacchus (white-tufted-ear marmoset). Lineage: Eukaryota; Metazoa; Chordata; Mammalia; Primates; Cebidae. The record is from RNAcentral.